GAUGAACGCUGGCGGCGUGCCUAAUACAUGCAAGUCGAGCGAACAGAUGAGGAGCUUGCUCCUCUGACGUUAGCGGCGGACGGGUGAGUAACACGUGGAUAACCUACCUAUAAGACUGGGAUAACGUCGGGAAACCGGAGCUAAUACCGGAUAAUAUAUUGAACCGCAUGGUUCAAUAGUGAAAGACGGAUUUGCUGUCACUUAGAGAGGGAUCCGCGCCGCAUUAGCUAGUUGGUAAGGUAACGGCUUACCAAGGCAACGAUGCGUAGCCGACCUGAGAGGGUGAUCGGCCACACUGGAACUGAGACACGGUCCAGACUCCUACGGGAGGCAGCAGUAGGGAAUCUUCCGCAAUGGGCGAAAGCCUGACGGAGCAACGCCGCGUGAGUGAUGAAGGUCUUCGGAUCGUAAAACUCUGUUAUUAGGGAAGAACAAAUGUGUAAGUAAAUAUGCACGUCUUGACGGUACCUACACAGAAAGCCACGGCUAACUCCGUG
RNAcentral lists this ribosomal RNA (497 nucleotides) under uncultured bacterium. Its description in RNAcentral is "partial 16S ribosomal RNA". It matches the Rfam family "Bacterial small subunit ribosomal RNA", at positions 28 to 507 of the family's 1533-position model. The record is from RNAcentral.